CGGCGAACGGGUGAGUAACACGUGAGCAACCUGCCCUAGGCUUUGGGAUAACCCUCGGAAACGGGGGCUAAUACCGAAUAUUACCGUUGACCGCAUGGUUGGUGGUGGAAAGUUUUUCGGCCUGGGAUGGGCUCGCGGCCUAUCAGCUUGUUGGUGGGGUGAUGGCCUACCAAGGCGACGACGGGUAGCCGGCCUGAGAGGGCGACCGGCCACACUGGGACUGAGACACGGCCCAGACUCCUACGGGAGGCAGCAGUGGGGAAUAUUGCACAAUGGGCGGAAGCCUGAUGCAGCGACGCCGCGUGAGGGAUGACGGCCUUCGGGUUGUAAACCUCUUUCAGCAGGGACGAAGCGUAAGUGACGGUACCUGCAGAAGAAGCGCCGGCCAACUACGUGCCAGCAGCCGCGGUAAGACGUAGGGCGCGAGCGUUGUCCGGAUUUAUUGGGCGUAAAGAGCUCGUAGGCGGCUUGUCGCGUCGACUGUGAAAACCCGCAGCUCAACUGCGGGCCUGCAGUCGAUACGGGCAGGCUAGAGUUCGGUAGGGGAGACUGGAAUUCCUGGUGUAGCGGUGAAAUGCGCAGAUAUCAGGAGGAACACCGGUGGCGAAGGCGGGUCUCUGGGCCGAUACUGACGCUGAGGA
RNAcentral lists this ribosomal RNA (641 nucleotides) under Micromonospora sp. I15A-00852. RNAcentral's name for it is "bacterial SSU rRNA". It matches the Rfam family "Bacterial small subunit ribosomal RNA", at positions 96 to 752 of the family's 1533-position model. Lineage: Bacteria; Bacillati; Actinomycetota; Actinomycetes; Micromonosporales; Micromonosporaceae. The record is from RNAcentral.